GCGGACGUGGUGGAACUGGUAGACACACAGGACUUAAAAUCCUGAGGGGGGCAACCCCCGUGCGGGUUCGACUCCCGCCGUCCGCACCA
Molecule: transfer RNA, 89 nt
Filed under: Methyloceanibacter marginalis
Lineage: Bacteria; Pseudomonadati; Pseudomonadota; Alphaproteobacteria; Hyphomicrobiales; Hyphomicrobiaceae
Also listed under: 4 other names
Description: tRNA-Leu
Rfam family: tRNA
About the family: Transfer RNA (tRNA) molecules are approximately 80 nucleotides in length.
Source: RNAcentral